This is a long non-coding RNA of Meleagris gallopavo (turkey), 2126 nucleotides long. NCBI's taxonomy places the organism in Eukaryota, Metazoa, Chordata, Aves, Galliformes, Phasianidae. The record is from Ensembl.
GGGCACUCGAUCCCUUUGUUACAGCAAGAAGCAGCCAACGGGAAAGCCUUCUGCAUCCACUUCCCGGUUAAAGCCCCGCCGCGGCAGACGUUGUUCCUUCCGUUAUUAAUCUAUAUCUUUUAUAAGGACAAAUUCUCUUCAGGAUGUCGUAAGCACACGCUGGGGCCUUCCUUUACAGUCAGACUGCGUGGCGCUGGGCCCGAGCGCUGUACUUACGGACGCAGCCUUACACGCAGCCAAGAAACACCUCUGCUUCCUUUCCCCCGCCGUCUCCGGCCCAGCAGGGCACGAGGCCCGGCCCCAGCGGCGUUCCGCCCCGCCCCGCCUGGCCGCGGAGCAGAGAGCGGCGGGGCGCCGUGCGGGGCUGGGUUUGCCGCCCUCACGCCCUCCCUGCUCCUCAGGCAGCGAUCAUCUGUGAAAAACGAGGGCACCCACCACCUCUCUGGGCAACCUGUGCCAGCGCCUCACCACCCUGAGUGAAAGUAAUGUUGCAAACAGGCCAGCAAGCACCCAAACUGAAUAAGAACACUUUCUGGGAGAAUCUUAAGAGGUAGGCUGACAGUUUUCAUGCUCUGGGUUAUAAAUGAUUGUGAAAUAGUAUAGGGAGGAACAUUACGUUUUCCUUGAAAUUCUAAUCAAGAUAUACAGAGAAUAUCACAGAAUAACACAGAUCUCACAGUUCCCACUAACUGCCUCCCUGUCAGCUUGAUACUUCAUUAUUUAUCACUGCCCAUUUUUUAUGGUAACAGUUGACAUUAGAUUAUUACUGACCUGGUUGAUAUUUGGAUUUAUUCCCUAGAGGUUAAAGACUUUGUAGUUUCAUUUUCUCAGUCCUUUUUAAAAUUCAUAAUUUUAGAGCAUGGAAUAUAUAUUGUUCUAUCAAGUUUAUUUCCUUGACAUUUAUUCAGUGGAAAGUGUGAUCCUAAUAUUAAAGGCAUUUGAUUUGAAGCCCAGGAUACAAAUAAAUCUUUUAACUCAUCUUCCCUAAAACAGGGCACUUUAUCACUGUGGUUCCUCUCACUGGUGUCUAGGAAGUUAAUAUGUUGAACAGCAUAAUUAUUUGAACCGGUAUUUGUUUUUAAAGGAUUUGUAGGUGAUAAUAGAUGGACUAACUCAGUUGUGUCAGAAAAUAUUCAGAGUUCUGACUGCUAAUGUAAUGGUGUUGGUCCUAUACAGAGCCAUAAAAUAUCAUUGUGUGCGAAGUAGUGACAGGAUUUUACUGCAGCUCUUUAUCAUAUGUUACAUUAAAUUUAAACAAAAUUGUUAAAUUUCUUUGUGUGGGUUUUGAUGCCUUCUUCUAUGAAAGUUGUAAUAAUGCUUUCAACCAGAGGGCUGCAUAAGAAUUUAUGCUUGCUAGGUGUCUUUCUCACAUAAUAAGAAUCUCAUUAAUGUUGCCAGCAGAACUAAUUGGACUGUCAUAGUAAGGUUCAGUACCCAGUUGGACAAUUAUGGUGCGAAGCCAAUAGAAUUUAGCAUAUUCUGCUGGUGGGCAAAGCUGACAUAAGUCAUUAAUGAGAUGCUUCUAAAGCCUUACUCUCCACAAAAAUGCAGGUAUUCUGAGGGGCUUUCUUGGACUAUGUAAAUAUGAAGGACAAAUGCAAGAACUCUUCUAAAUUUUUCAAAAGCAAGUUGUUGACAGUUCAAGAUACAGUAAAGGUUUUCUCCUUUAUCAGCACAGACAUUGAAAGUACUGCCAGGUAGCACCUAGACACCAUAAAUCAUUGAUGAGAGUGAAUAGUUUCAAAUUAAUACAAAAAAAAAAAAAACAACUUUAAGGCACAGGGCAUCUAAAGAAGUCAUUGUCUAGGGCCUGCUGCUUUUAAAAUGGUCAUUUCAGUUCCCAUUAAUUCACAUCUCUAAUUAGGAAAUGGAUUGAUCUCUUGCUUAAAGUUGCUAGUGACUGGCUGGUGUCCAUGUCAGAUCAGAAGUGUGCAUACAAAUUAAGUAUUAUUAGUGACUGCUGUUGUAUAAGUUUAAAUAAAUACAAGCUAAAUGAAAACUGUGGACUGUGUUCUAUAGGCAGAACAAAAACGUAUUUCAGAUCUGAUUCUAUCCAUAGCUCCUGAUGUUUAUGCUCUGAAUCGUAGUAGGAAACCGUGAUCAGUUGCAUUUUCACUAGACUGCCA